Molecule: ribosomal RNA, 1295 nt
Filed under: metagenome
Description: bacterial LSU rRNA
Rfam family: Bacterial large subunit ribosomal RNA
Source: RNAcentral
UAGAAAAGCUGUGUGGAUUUCUGAGGUGCCCGUACCGCAAACCGACACAGGUAGGUAGGAAGAAGAUUCUAAGGCCAACGGGAGAAGGGUUGUUAAGGAACUCGGCAAAUUGACCCCGUAACUUCGGGAGAAGGGGUGCUCCAGAGAUGGAGCCGCAGAGAAUCGGCCCAAGCAACUGUUUACCAAAAACACAGGUUUGCGCUAAAUCGAAAGAUGACGUAUACGAGCUGACGCCUGCCCGGUGCUGGAAGGUUAAGAGGAGAUGUGCAAGCAUUGAAUCGAAGCCCCAGUGAACGGCGGCCGUAACAAUAACGGUCCUAAGGUAGCGAAAUUCCUUGUCAGGUAAGUUCUGACCCGCAUGAAAGGCGUAAUGAUUUGGGCACUGUCUCAACAGCCCGCCCGGCGAAAUUGUAGUACCGGUGAAGAUGCCGGUUACCCGCGACAAGACGGAAAGACCCCAUGGAGCUUUACUGUAGCCUAAUAUUGGGUUUCGAUGUUGCAUGCACAGGAUAGAUGGGACUCUGGGAAACCAGUGCUUUGGCGCUGGCGGAGAGGCCGUUGGGAUACCAUCCUUGCGAUAUUGGAAUUCUAACCUGCGGCUCUGAAUCGAGUCGGGGGACAUUGUUAGGUGGGCAGUUUGACUGGGGCGGUCGCCUCCUAGAAAGUAACGGAGGCGUUCAAAGGUUCGCUCAGCUUGAACGGAAAUCAAGCAAAAGAGUGCAAACGCAGAAGCGAGCCUAACUGCGAGACUGACGGGUCGAGCAGUAACGAAAGUUGGAGUUAGUGAUCCGGUGGUAUGUGAGUGGAAAUGCCAUCGCUCAACGGAUAAAAGUUACCCUGGGGAUAACAGGCUGAUCUCCCCCAAGAGUCCACAUCGACGGGGAGGUUUGGCACCUCGAUGUCGGCUCAUCGCAUCCUGGGGCUGUAUUCGGUCCCAAGGGUUUGGCUGUUCGCCAAUUAAAGCGGUACGCGAGCUGGGUUCAGAACGUCGUGAGACAGUUCGGUCCCUAUCUGUCGUGGGCGCAGGAUAUUUGAUGGGAGCUGUCCCUAGUACGAGAGGACCGGGACGGACGUACCUCUGGCGCACCAGUUGUUCUGCCAAGAGCAUAGCUGGGCAACUACGUACGGAUCGGAUAAACGCUGAAAGCAUCUAAGCGUGAAGCCGACCCAAAGAUAAGAUAUCCCACUGUUUCAAACAGGUAAGAUCCCUUGAAGACUACAAGGUUGAUAGGCACGAUGUGUAAGUGGAGUGAUCCAUUCAGCAAGCGUGUACUAAUAGAUCGAGGGCUUGAUCA